AGUAGAUCGGGAUACUCUUCAAUUAUAUUAUGAAAUGCCGAGACAAGCAUUGCAGUCAAUGGCGGGCCUCGACCGAAAGGUGCAGCCCAGCGCUGCCGGAGGAUUACAAAGAUGCGAUGCCCUCAAAACUUGUUUUUAUCGGAGUUUCAUCACAUCCUUUGGUGUGGCUUCUU
This 173-nucleotide small RNA is filed under the name bovine gut metagenome. RNAcentral's name for it is "Bacteroidales-1 6S-Bacteroidales RNA suggested". It matches the Rfam family "Bacteroidales-1 6S-Bacteroidales RNA suggested". RNAcentral also lists the same sequence under 1 other name. The record is from RNAcentral.